GGGGAACGCGAAGAACCUUACCGGGCCUUGUACACGCCGGGGUCUUGUACACACCGAGAACGCCCUAGAAAUAGGGAACUCUUUGGACACUCGGUUACAGGUGGUGCAUGGUUGUCGUCAGCUCGUGUCGUGAGAUGUUGGGUUAAGUCCCGCAACGAGCGCAACCCUCGUCGCAUGUUGCCAGCACGUUAUGGUGGGGACUCAUGUGAGACUGCCGGGGUCAACUCGGAGGAAGGUGGGGAUGACGUCAAAUCAUCAUGCCCCUUAUGUCUUGGGCUUCACGCAUGCUACAAUGGCCGGUACAAAGGGCUGCGAUGUCGUAAGGCGGAGCGAAUCCCAAAAAGCCGGUCUCAGUUCGGAUUGAGGUCUGCAACUCGACCUCAUGAAGUCGGAAUCGCUAGUAAUCGCGGAUCAGAAAUCCGUGCGCUCUACCUCGGCUAGGUAUGGUUCUUCGCGUUCCC
Molecule: ribosomal RNA, 461 nt
Filed under: uncultured bacterium
Lineage: Bacteria
Description: bacterial SSU rRNA
Rfam family: Bacterial small subunit ribosomal RNA
Source: RNAcentral